Molecule: ribosomal RNA, 911 nt
Filed under: Pholiota lenta
Lineage: Eukaryota; Fungi; Basidiomycota; Agaricomycetes; Agaricales; Strophariaceae
Description: LSU rRNA
Rfam family: Eukaryotic large subunit ribosomal RNA
Source: RNAcentral
AGCGGAGGAAAAGAAACUAACAAGGAUUCCCCUAGUAACUGCGAGUGAAGCGGGAAAAGCUCAAAUUUAAAAUCUGGCAGCCUUCGGUUGUCCGAGUUGUAAUCUAGAGAAGUGUUAUCCGCGCUGGACCGUGUACAAGUCUCCUGGAAUGGAGCGUCAUAGAGGGUGAGAAUCCCGUCUUUGACACGGACUGCCAGGGCUUUGUGAUGCGCUCUCAAAGAGUCGAGUUGUUUGGGAAUGCAGCUCAAAAUGGGUGGUAAAUUCCAUCUAAAGCUAAAUAUUGGCGAGAGACCGAUAGCGAACAAGUACCGUGAGGGAAAGAUGAAAAGAACUUUGGAAAGAGAGUUAAACAGUACGUGAAAUUGCUGAAAGGGAAACGCUUGAAGUCAGUCGCGUUGUUUGGGAAUCAACCUUGCUUUUGCUGGGCGUACUUUCCAGAUGACGGGCCAGCAUCAAUUUUGACCGUUGGAUAAAGGCUGGAGGAAUGUGGCAUCUUCGGAUGUGUUAUAGCCUCUGGUUGUAUACAACGGUUGGGAUUGAGGAACUCAGCACGCCGCAAGGCCGGGUACUUGUACCACGUUCGUGCUUAGGAUGCUGGCAUAAUGGCUUUAAUCGACCCGUCUUGAAACACGGACCAAGGAGUCUAACAUGCCUGCGAGUAUUUGGGUGGAAAACCCGAGUGCGUAAUGAAAGUGAAAGUUGAGAUCCCUGUCGCGGGGAGCAUCGACGCCCGGACCAGACCUUUUGUGACGGAUCUGCGGUAAAGCAUGUAUGUUGGGACCCGAAAGAUGGUGAACUAUGCCUGAAUAGGGUGAAGCCAGAGGAAACUCUGGUGGAGGCUCGUAGCGAUUCUGACGUGCAAAUCGAUCGUCAAAUUUGGGUAUAGGGGCGAAAGACUAAUCGAACCAUCU